Molecule: ribosomal RNA, 669 nt
Filed under: uncultured archaeon
Lineage: Archaea
Description: bacterial SSU rRNA
Rfam family: Archaeal small subunit ribosomal RNA
Source: RNAcentral
UGCAGCAGGCGCGCAAACUUUACAAUGCGAGCAAUCGUGAUAAGGAAACCCUGAGUGCCUGUCGAUGCAGGCUGUUCAUAUAUCUAAAUCAUAUGUGAAGAAAGGGCAGGGCAAGACCGGUGCCAGCCGCCGCGGUAAUACCGGCUGCUCGAGUGAUGGCCACUAUUACUGGGUUUAAAGCGUCCGUAGCUUGACUGUUAGGUCUCUUGGGAAAUCUUCACGCUCAACGUGAAGGCGUCUAAGAGAUACCGGCAGUCUUGGAACUGGGAGAGGUAAACCGUACUUCGGGGGUAGGAGUGAAAUCUUGUAAUCCUCGAGGGACGACCUAUGGCGAAGGCAGUUUACCAGAACAGCUUCGACAGUGAGGGACGAAAGCUGGGGGAGCAAACGGGAUUAGAUACCCCGGUAGUCCCAGCCGUAAACAAUGUGCGUUAGGUGUGUCGGUAACCACGUGUUACUGAUGCGCCGAAGAGAAAUCGUGAAACGCACCACCUGGGAAGUACGGUCGCAAGGCUGAAACUUAAAGGAAUUGGCGGGGGAGCACCACAACAGGUGGAGCCUGCGGUUUAAUUGGAUUCAACGCCGGACAUCUCACCGGAUAAGACAGCUGAAUGAUUGUCAAUCUGAAGGUUUUACAUGACUAGCUGAGAGGAAGUGCAUGGCCAAUCA